UAAAAAGGGGAGCCAAUGUGUGCUGAGAGGAAACAUUACGUUUCGACCCUGUGAACCUGAUACGGGUAAUGCCGGCGUAGGGAGUAU
This 87-nucleotide non-coding RNA is filed under the name human gut metagenome. The record is from RNAcentral.